Long non-coding RNA from Maniola jurtina (meadow brown), 138 nucleotides. RefSeq lists it as uncharacterized. The record is from RefSeq and is a predicted model, not a curated record. Lineage: Eukaryota; Metazoa; Arthropoda; Insecta; Lepidoptera; Nymphalidae. The transcript is spliced from 3 exons.
CCCCUAUAAAGUAAACUCAGUGGCGUGCACAAGGUUUGGAGCCAGGGUAAGCAUUAGUUAGGUAGAAAUCUGUUCACUGGCAGGUCAUAAUGAAAAACGUGCAUUGAGCUAUUACAACUGAGGUAAGCAGUGCAUUUA